CCCGGGAGGUGGAGGUUGCAGUGAGGUGAGAUCGUGCCGUUGCACUCCAGCCUCGCCACAGAGCGAGACUCCAUCUCAAAAAAAAAAAAAAAAAAAAAAGACAUUUGCCCAAGGGUCAUAGCUGUAGAGGGGCAGAUGUGGUUUGAACCCAGAGUGUCUGGUUCCUCUCUGGAAGCAACCAAAGUGCCUGUGAUUGGGGUAGUGACAAAGCACUCUGAGCUGCUGCAUGGCAGAUGCUGUGAAGAGUCAUCUUUGCCUGUCCCAUUAUCUAUUCCCAUUUUUUCUGAUUGCAACACCUUGUUUUUUUGUGUGUGGUGGGGGAACCAUGCCCUUUAACCAAGCUAUGUGGUGUUCAUAAAGGUAGCCCCUCCUCCGACCCCAGGAGUGGCAGUUCACAGCCCUGACUGAUCACAGUGUUCCGUGGCCUAGCCGUAACCACCCCAGGGAGUGAGACUGAACUCAGGGUUCACUGGACCUAUUAGGAAAGAGAGACCUUUCUUGCUUCUGAACUUGGAGCUGUGAUGAAGUAAGUGGGUCAGGGGCCAACACAUAGAGAGCGUUGACCUACAAAUGCAGCCCAGGCAGAGGACCGUGCGGCCAAGCCACACAGAGAGACAACUUUCUAGUGACACGCUGUGAACACCUGCAUCCACCCCUGCCUGAACUGGAGCUUUUCCUCUUCAGCUCUUCAGUUAUGUGAGGCAAGAUGUUGCCUUUUUUGCUUAAUGCUGUGAGUUGAGUGUACAGCAGUUACAAUCAAAGAAUCCUAAAUAAUGCUGCAAGCAUGGUGACUAUCUACAUGGGAAUAUGCAGUACUCCAGUGAAAACAAAACAUAAAUUAAUUUUGGAAUCUGAUGACCAUAAUCUAAAAACAUUCAUAGAGGUAUAUAAAAAUUAUAACAAAACUUAAAGUAGCAUAUCUCCUCAUGAAGCAGGUUAAGUGUAUACACACAAAGAAGGAGGAGGAAAAGGUGAGAAAGAAUCUGCCCUUGUGGGGAAGUGACAGAGGCAGAAGAGGCUGAUGCAGUCCUGCAUCCAGGCCCAGCUCUGCCAGCAGCUGAGUACCCCUGAACAAGCUCCCCCACCUCUUCGGGCCUCACUUUCCCCAUCUAUGAAAGAAAGGGAGUCUGGCUUCCAUAGCUGCCCCACCUGAUACGCAAGGUGCCAACGUGUCCUCAGUCCUGUCACGAGAAACCUUUCCCCUAGAAUCCCACGAGGAGCUUCAAAUCCUGUCUGGGAUCCCGACGGCCCAGGUGCUGACCCUGCCUCGGGUUGUGUCUGCUGAGAAGUCUGAUUUCUGCUCAUCUCUCCCCAUUUCUUUCUUCCCAUAAAGUGGGCUGAUGCGCUGGAACGUCGAUGCAGCCAGUGAUGUGUUUGAUGAGAAUGUAUUGAGAGUAAAGCUGCCCAGAAUCCAAGUGUGUGUCAUCUGAAUUCUUGAAUCAUGGAUGGAAGAUGGUGAACCGAAACUUACAGAGCUCAAGUCACUUGACCAGGCUCCACCCCUACAAGAGGCAGCAUGCAAACUAAAACCCAGGCGGCCUUUUCCAAAGCUUCUGCUCUGCUCCACUGCGGGAAGGAACCCUUCGGGGAAUUGAAGCAGCACUGAACAAAGGCCAUUUUUAAGAAGCGACAGCAGAAACCUAAGGCGGGGUCCCCGGCUCAACAAGGAUCUCAUGUUUUGUGGGUCAGAGAUUCUUGUGUCGUGUCUGGGUGAGGUCAAAAACCAUGCAGACUUUCACUUCUUGUUCUGUGGCAGACAAGACAUCUGAAAAGCUCUCCUGCAGCAACACUUCUAGAUGCCAAGUAAAUCACAGCAAAUGCACUUUUAAA
Pongo pygmaeus (Bornean orangutan) is the source of this 1830-nucleotide long non-coding RNA. RefSeq lists it as uncharacterized. The transcript is spliced from 2 exons. The record is from RefSeq and is a predicted model, not a curated record. Lineage: Eukaryota; Metazoa; Chordata; Mammalia; Primates; Hominidae.